CGUGUAAAUACUCCACACAGGAGGCAAGUCGGGGAGUCCCCAGGGGUGUGCAGCCGCCAGAUGGAGCCGCUGCCUCCCGCAGGCCAGCACCCUUGCGUGGCCUGGUGGCUCGGAAGGCUGGGUACCACCGGAGUCAAGAGCUCGGGAUCCACGCGCUGGCCAUUUUCACAGCAUCAGCCUGGGUUUGGAAUGACUCACUCCCGGAGAGCUGGUGCUCGGUGGGAGCAGAAAGCCGGCGUCGGGGGCCCGGCUCAUGAAACCUUCAGAUUCAGGAAACAGAACUACCAGCCGCUCCACCUGCAUUGUGUCUACUCUGAUUAAAGAGAGACCAGUAAAGGAGGGGAAACCCCUUCUGUUUCAGGAACUUUGCUGCGCUCCACAGUGGACAUCCUCUGCCUCGUGCUAAAUGGAGCUUAACCCGGAGAAAGGAACACAUCUGGAAAAGAUGCCGAGGUGGCCGCAAGGGAGGCGAGGAGGAGAAGUGCACUCGGGACGAGGGUGAGGGGCAGCUGCUCGGGGCCGGCGGGGACGUCUCUGGACAGCAGCGCAAGCUUGCAUUGAUCAUUUUUACGUUAUCAACAUAAUAAAGUUUUUAAAAAACCUCUCUACUCGAGAAAGAAGAAGAAAGCACAGCUACUAUCCUUUCGCGUGUAUAGGGUCUUCACUGGCACCAAUUCUUAAACAUUCUCUUGUAAAUUAUUAAAUCACAUUUCCUUUCGAA
Molecule: long non-coding RNA, 721 nt
Organism: Bubalus bubalis (water buffalo)
Lineage: Eukaryota; Metazoa; Chordata; Mammalia; Artiodactyla; Bovidae
Exons: 3
Source: RefSeq, a predicted model, not a curated record